UAAGGAAUAUUGCACAAUGGGGGAAACCCUGAUGCAGCAACGCCGCGUGAGUGAUGAAGGCCUUCGGGUUGUAAAACUCUUUUCUGAGGGAUGAGGAAGGACAGUACCUUAGGAAUAAGUCUCGGCUAACUACGUGCCAGCAGCCGCGGUAAAACGUAGGAGGCGAGCGUUAUCCGGAUUUACUGGGCGUAAAGGGCAAGUAGGCGGUGGUCAAAGUUGGGCGUGACAGAUCCUGGCUUAACUGGGAGAGGUCGUUCAAAACUAGAUCACUAGAGGGCAGGAGAGGGGAGCGGAAUUCCUAGUGUAGCGGUGGAAUGCUCAGAUAUUAGGAAGAACACCAGUGGCGAAAGCGGCUUUCUGGCCUGCACCUGACGCUAAGGGGCGAAAGCUAGGGGAGCGAACGG
This 404-nucleotide ribosomal RNA is filed under the name uncultured bacterium. RNAcentral's name for it is "bacterial SSU rRNA". It matches the Rfam family "Bacterial small subunit ribosomal RNA", at positions 355 to 775 of the family's 1533-position model. The record is from RNAcentral.